Molecule: long non-coding RNA, 238 nt
Filed under: Elaeis guineensis (African oil palm)
Lineage: Eukaryota; Viridiplantae; Streptophyta; Magnoliopsida; Arecales; Arecaceae
Description: long non-coding RNA (EGUI_LNC073067)
Source: RNAcentral
GGGUAUUAGAUACUGCACCGAUUGAUUUUAGGCCAAGUGGGGAUUGUUGGGAAUAGUGUCCCAAAGCCAAUUGUCAGUCUGUUGAUGGUUGUGCUUCUUUUUGUAUUAGUAUAUGAAUUAUAAAUAAAUAAAAGUUAUUUUGGCAUUUUUCAUCACAAAUUAUUUCAUCUUUUAAUGAACUCCUGUGUUGUGGUGAAGUCCUUAGGACUAUUUAGACUCGAUAAAGGAGCAUCUAUGG